RNAcentral lists this ribosomal RNA (415 nucleotides) under uncultured archaeon CRE-PA3a. Its description in RNAcentral is "bacterial SSU rRNA". It matches the Rfam family "Archaeal small subunit ribosomal RNA", at positions 31 to 452 of the family's 1478-position model. The record is from RNAcentral.
UAUCGGAUUGGUACUAAGCCAUGUGAGUCAUUGUAGCAAUACAAGGCAUACGGCUCAGUAACACGUAGUCAAUCUAACCUAUGGACGGGGAUAACCUCGGGAAACUGAGAAUAAUCCGCGAUAGAUCAUUAAUCCUGGAACGGUUUAUGGUCGAAAUGAUUCGUCGCCAUAGGAUGGGACUGCGGCCUAUCAGCUUGUUGGUGAGGUAAUGGCCCACCAAGGCUAUUACAGGUACGGGCUCUGAGAGGAGAAGCCCGGAGAUGGGUGCUGAGACACGGACCCAGGCCCUAUGGGGCGCAGCAGGCGAGAAACCUUUGCAAUGUGCGCAAGCACGACAAGGUUAAUCCGAGUGUUUCCUGCUAAAGGAAUCUUUUGUUAGUUCUAAAACCACUGAUGAAUAAGGGGUGGGCAAGUU